CCUCGACCGUUUGAGCUUCCAUAAUACCAUCCGGACUUCUCCGACAAUGAGCUUCUCCAUUCAUUUACCGGACUGCUCCAAACACCCUCUAAACUCCGCCAUCAGCCGAUUUUCUACAGUGAUCAACUAUUCUCCGAAUCCCUUUCAGACUUCUUCCGACCACGGACGACUCUACUCCGAACUUCUUUCAAACUUCGUCAAUAUCCGAGCUUCUCCAACAAUAAGAUUUCUACAGUAACCAGACUCCAUCCAAGUUUUUACGACGAUCGACCGCCUUUCGGGUUCCAUCCGAGCUCCUACGAGAAUCGGAUUUCAGCCGAACUCCUACAGUGGAUGGAUCCUAGACGAAUUUCGAUAAUGGAAGGGCUCCACC
RNAcentral lists this long non-coding RNA (373 nucleotides) under Elaeis guineensis (African oil palm). Its description in RNAcentral is "long non-coding RNA (EGUI_LNC066508)". Lineage: Eukaryota; Viridiplantae; Streptophyta; Magnoliopsida; Arecales; Arecaceae. The record is from RNAcentral.